This 256-nucleotide ribosomal RNA is filed under the name uncultured bacterium. RNAcentral's name for it is "partial 16S ribosomal RNA". It matches the Rfam family "Bacterial small subunit ribosomal RNA", at positions 524 to 777 of the family's 1533-position model. The record is from RNAcentral.
UACGGGGGGGGCAAGCGUUGUUCGGAAUUACUGGGCGUAAAGGGCUCGUAGGUGGCCAACUAAGUCAGACGUGAAAUCCCUCGGCUUAACCGGGGAACUGCGUCUGAUACUGGAUGGCUUGAGUUCGGGAGAGGGAUGGCGGAAUUCCAGGUGUAGCGGUGAAAUGCGUAGAUAUCUGGAGGAACACCGGUGGCGAAGGCAGGUCUCUGGGCAUUAACUGACGCUGAGGAGCGAAAGCAUGGGGAGCGAAACAGGG